Molecule: long non-coding RNA, 1168 nt
Filed under: Marmota monax (woodchuck)
Lineage: Eukaryota; Metazoa; Chordata; Mammalia; Rodentia; Sciuridae
Source: RNAcentral
AUUUUCCUCAAUUUGUCAUGUAGAAAUCUGGCAUUUAACCUGAGGUUGAACUAUGGAACUUGUGUUUGCUGCCUCUGAAGAAAACCCUUCACCAGGAUCACUGUCAGGAGGGAUGCUGCUUUUGAUUAGAGCCUGGCCCAGCUGUCAUGAAUAUCAAUGGCAACAUCAGUGAGAUGUUCUUCAAAAAACAGCGAAAUAACAGAAAUAACACUUCCUGUUGAGAAGUAAACGCAAACCCACUCAUAAUGAAUGAGAAGGAAGACAACGUGAUAAAAUGUGUCACCGGAAACUCUGUGUGCACCCCCCCAAAGUCCACUGAGCACGCUUUGAUGCACUUUCACCCAGCCGGGGAGGAGGACGUGACUGUAGUGCAGGGAACCCAAAUGUAAUCAGUUCCCAGGGGCACAGGAAUAAAGAAGGGAGCUGAUCCCCAAGAGGCAGCAGUUGUGAGCACUGCAUUAUGCUGCCCCAGAAGUCUUUCUGCUGGUGUGAUGAUGCUGUUCUCCAGGCAGGUCUAUGGCUACCAUCCCGAUGGCUUGAGUGAUCAGUGAUGGAUGGCCCUACCCAACGACAUCUCCAGCUAGACCCUCUGCUCUGAUUGUGUGUUCACCACUCAGUCUUUGUGUAUUAAAUUGCCUUCUUGUGCAGAGAUGAUGCCUGUAAUUCAAGUGGUUUGGGGGAGGCUGAGGAAGGAGGAUUGGGAAUUCAAAGCCAGCCUCAGCAAAAGCAAGAUGCUAAGCAACUCAGUGACAAAAUAGGGCUGGGGAUGUGGCUCAGGGGUUGAGUGCCCCGAGUUCAUUCUGCAUUACCCACCCCCACCCCAGUUGCCUUCUUGUGUAGAGAUUUUGUCAAAAAGAGAAUGUGGAAAUCAACAAAGUACUUGGCUGAUUUUAUAGAUACAAUUUUAAAGUAAAUUAAUUCCAUUCAGCCUUGUUGAUGCUUCUCUUUCUAGUUUGGAGAGUGUGGUGCAGCUGAGAAAGGUGUGCAGUGAACAAUAUUUCCAAAGCUGGAUUUAAAACUGAGGACCAGGUCCUGAACAGAGACUUGGACUCCUUGCAGUGCAACCCAGGGAAAGCCGUUCUGAUCAUCUCAUUGGAGCCCUGAGUUCACCCCUUCUGGAUUCUUCUCUAGUGGCACAAAAGAUACUCACAAGUAUUAUCAAUAAAUU